Zygosaccharomyces rouxii is the source of this 319-nucleotide non-coding RNA. NCBI's taxonomy places the organism in Eukaryota, Fungi, Ascomycota, Saccharomycetes, Saccharomycetales, Saccharomycetaceae. The record is from Rfam.
AUCCAUGACCAAAGAAUCGUCAAUUUUCGAAGCCUGCAAAAGGGAUGGGUACCCCCAUUCAAAUAAUAUGCUUUGGGAUGAAAGUCUCCGACCUGACAACUUGCGGAAAACGCAAUGAGAUUUAAAAAUUUCAAAAUGUUUAAAUCAACUCAUUAAGUAGAUGGUUAUUCGAUUAUCUGCUUUGCCACCUAGAUCGUCACAGAUGGUCUAGUGCUUUUCGGUAUGGGAAACCAUUGUGGUUUCCAAACCAUAGUUAUGACGAUUGCUCAAGGAUUAUCCUUUGAGUAACCCAAUGGAGCUUACUUUCUUGGUCCAUGGA